GACGAACGCUGGCGGCGUGCUUAACACAUGCAAGUCGAACGGAAAGGCCCUGCGUUUGUGGGGUGCUCGAGUGGCGAACGGGUGAGUAACACGUGAGUAACCUGCCCUUGACUUUGGGAUAACUUCAGGAAACUGGGGCUAAUACCGGAUAGGAGCUCCUGCUGCAUGGAGGGGGUGGGAAAGUUUCGGCGGUUGGGGAUGGACUUGCGGCUUAUCAGCUUGUUGGUGGGGUAGUGGCUUACCAAGGCUUUGACGGGUAGCCGGCCUGAGAGGGUGACCGGCCACCUUGGGCCUGCGAUACGGCGCAGUCUCCUACGGGAGGCAGCAGUGGGGAAUAUUGCACAAUGGGCCGAAGCCUGAUGCAGCAACGCCGCGUUCGUGAUGACGGCCUUCUGGUUGUAAACCGCUUUCGCCUGUGACGAAGCGUGAGUGACGGUACUGGGUAAAGAAGCACCGGCUAACUACGUG
This 468-nucleotide ribosomal RNA is filed under the name uncultured bacterium. RNAcentral's name for it is "partial 16S ribosomal RNA". It matches the Rfam family "Bacterial small subunit ribosomal RNA", at positions 28 to 507 of the family's 1533-position model. The record is from RNAcentral.